GAUGAACGCUGGCGGCGUGCCUAAUACAUGCAAGUCGAGCGAACAGAUGAUGAGCUUGCUCCUCUGACGUUAGCGGCGGACGGGUGAGUAACACGUGGAUAACCUACCUAUAAGACUGGUAUAACUUCGGGAAACCGGAGCUAAUACCGUAUAAUAUAUUGAACCGCAUGGUUCAAUAGUGAAAUACGGUUUUGCUGUCACUUAUAGAUGGAUCCGCGCCGCAUUAGGUAGUUGGUAAGGUAACGGCUUACCAAGGCAACGAUGCGUAGCCGACCUGAGAGGGUGAUAGGCCACACUGGAACUGAGACACGGACCAGACUACUACGGGAGGGAGCAGAAGGGAAUCGUCCGCAAUGGGCGAAAGCUUGACGGAGCAACGCCGAGUGAGUGAUGAAGGUCUUCGGAUCGGAAAAAUCUGUUAUUAGGGAAGAACAAAUGUGUAAGUAAAUAUGCACGUAGUGACGGUACCUAAUCAGAAAGCCACGGCUAACUACGUG
This 497-nucleotide ribosomal RNA is filed under the name uncultured bacterium. RNAcentral's name for it is "partial 16S ribosomal RNA". It matches the Rfam family "Bacterial small subunit ribosomal RNA", at positions 28 to 507 of the family's 1533-position model. The record is from RNAcentral.